This 300-nucleotide ribosomal RNA is filed under the name Triticum aestivum (bread wheat). RNAcentral's name for it is "partial small subunit ribosomal RNA". The record is from RNAcentral. Lineage: Eukaryota; Viridiplantae; Streptophyta; Magnoliopsida; Poales; Poaceae.
AUGGAGAUCCUCUUCCUCUAUAGCUACGACAACUGCGGCAAGACCUUCGUCAACGUGGCUGCCUUGAGGAAGCAUGCCCACGUGCACAGUGGAUGGCAGUAUGUUUGCGAGGAGCCCGACUGUGGGAAAGUGUCUCCAGUAAAAGAUUACUUUAUGCCUUUACCAGUGCCUACUCUAGCGUUGAAAUUUGUAGAUAGCUCAAAGUUGAACAAUUCCAUCAAUGAUGAAUCCCUCCUCUUCUUCUGGCUUCCUUCAUCCCCGCAUCUGAUUCCUGCCCACAUCUCUGGGUACAAGAACUAG